This 72-nucleotide transfer RNA is filed under the name Ovis aries (sheep). It matches the Rfam family "tRNA". Rfam says of the family: Transfer RNA (tRNA) molecules are approximately 80 nucleotides in length. Lineage: Eukaryota; Metazoa; Chordata; Mammalia; Artiodactyla; Bovidae. The record is from Rfam by way of RNAcentral.
UCCCUGUUGGUCCAGCAGGUAAGACUCUGUGCUCCCAAUGCAGAGGCCCAGGUUUGAUCCCUGGUCAGGGAA